AUAUGCAGAUGACAAACAAAACCAGAUUUGAUUUUUCACCCAAUCCCCCCCCCCGCCUUCCACCUCCCCCCGCUUUUCAGUAGGGAAGGGAUGGGGGGUUGCACAAAGGAGUGAAAGGAGCCUGGGUCUGUGGAUUGAGAAUUAAUGAAAUUAACGUAAUCCUUUCCAUUAGUGGGCUUUUUUGAAAGGCCCCAGAUUUAGGCUUGAUCUCUGCUGCGCCGGCUAAUUGCCCGGGUUAAUCUCAUUAAUGCCAUUGUGCAGAAGUGGUUAGCAGCUCCUCGCCUUGUCUAUUAUGCACCUACUUUACUCGUGUUAGUUUGCAUUAGUGGGUGUGAUUUCCUCCGUCUGAAGAUCAGAUUCAUUAUUUAUACUUCGAAUUGCUCGAGAAACACGUUAAAAAAAUAAAUUUCGGUAUAACCACGCAACUUUUCCCCCUCGAAGUGUUUCUGUACCACGGGGCGAACUUUACUCGGGGAACCGGAGGGGCACUGAGGAGUGCGCUGCAGUCAUUUACACUCUGUUCGCUGUGCAACAUCUUCUGCUGAGUAUCGCUUUCUGUUUUUUAACGAGCCAGGAUGUGGGAAUGUCAAUGACCGCUGCCAUCUCACAUCGCCGAGCUGAGUUGCGGCGAUACGGAGAAACUUCGCCUAUUGCAUGUUCCGAGAAUUUGAAAUGGAGCAGUUUAAAAGUCCGUAAAAUUCUCAGCUCAGACACUCGGCUCUCCUGGUAGCUGCUCUUGUGAUUUGCAGAAUACUUCGUCUGUCACGACUGUCACUGGGAAUCCACAGGAGGUGAACUCAAUCAGAUUAGACUAUUUACCCCAUCAACCCUCCAUCACAGAAGGUAGGAAAUUGUAGGCAUGGAAUGAAAACAAGCUAUUAAUAUCCGUUUACGAGGAACACAUUAUUUUUCCUCCACAAAGACCAUCCUCGUUAGCGCUCACUCGCACUUUGUCCUUUCUUUCCUCGAAAUUCCAGAUUUUGUUACUGCAUCUGAUAUUGACCCAAACCGAAGACCUAUGGCUAGUAAAAGACGCAUAGGAGCGUUAAGAAAAAAAAAAAAAAAAACAACCCAGGACUCGUUUCUCACUUUGAUACACCGCGAUGUGACUAAUAGUUAUCAUCGUUUCUUUUCCUUCAUUUAUUUACCGAUCAAUUAAUUUCUUUGCGCCUUUGGUAUUUAGAGCUGACCUUUGUGCGAA
Molecule: long non-coding RNA, 1201 nt
Filed under: Phasianus colchicus (ring-necked pheasant)
Lineage: Eukaryota; Metazoa; Chordata; Aves; Galliformes; Phasianidae
Description: lncRNA (ENSPCLG00000005675.1)
Source: RNAcentral